AACACAUGCAAGUCGAGCGGAUGAAGGGAGCUUGCUCCUGGAUUCAGCGGCGGACGGGUGAGUAAUGCCUAGGAAUCUGCCUGGUAGUGGGGGAUAACGUCCGGAAACGGGCGCUAAUACCGCAUACGUCCUGAGGGAGAAAGUGGGGGAUCUUCGGACCUCACGCUAUCAGAUGAGCCUAGGUCGGAUUAGCUAGUUGGUGGGGUAAAGGCCUACCAAGGCGACGAUCCGUAACUGGUCUGAGAGGAUGAUCAGUCACACUGGAACUGAGACACGGUCCAGACUCCUACGGGAGGCAGCAGUGGGGAAUAUUGGACAAUGGGCGAAAGCCUGAUCCAGCCAUGCCGCGUGUGUGAAGAAGGUCUUCGGAUUGUAAAGCACUUUAAGUUGGGAGGAAGGGCAGUAAGUUAAUACCUUG
RNAcentral lists this ribosomal RNA (418 nucleotides) under Pseudomonas aeruginosa. Its description in RNAcentral is "bacterial SSU rRNA". It matches the Rfam family "Bacterial small subunit ribosomal RNA", at positions 50 to 471 of the family's 1533-position model. Lineage: Bacteria; Pseudomonadati; Pseudomonadota; Gammaproteobacteria; Pseudomonadales; Pseudomonadaceae. The record is from RNAcentral.